RNAcentral lists this ribosomal RNA (275 nucleotides) under uncultured bacterium. RNAcentral's name for it is "partial 16S ribosomal RNA". It matches the Rfam family "Bacterial small subunit ribosomal RNA", at positions 334 to 624 of the family's 1533-position model. The record is from RNAcentral.
AGUUCCUACGGGGGGCAGCAGUGGGGAAUAUUGGGCAAUGGGCGCAAGCCUGACCCAGCGACGCCGCGUGAGGAAAGACGGUCUUCGGAUUGUAAACCUCUUUCAGCAGGGAAGACAAAAGGACGGUACCUGCAGAAGAAGCCACGGCUAACUACGUGCCAGCAGCCGCGGUAAUACGUAGGUGGCAAGCGUUAUCCGGAAUUACUGGGUGUAAAGGGUGUGUAGGCGGGGCUGCAAGGCAGAUGUGAAAAUUAUGGGGUCAAACCAUAACCUGC